UUUAAAGUCUAAUCUGCCCGAUGAAUUAUUCAAUGGCUGCGGUAUUUUGACCGUACAAAGGUAGCAUAAUAAUUAGUUUUUUGAUUGAAAACUGGUAUGAAUGAUUGGACAAGAAAAUUACUGUCUCAAUUUAAUUUGUAUAGAAUUUUAUAUUUAAGUAAAAAAGCUUAAAUAAUUUUAAAAGACGAGAAGACCCUAUAGAGUUUUAUAUUAAUUUUAUUUAAUUUAAUUUAGAAUUGAUUUUAUUAUUUAAUAAUUAUUAUUUUAUUGGGGUGAUAGGAAAAUUUAAUUAACUUUUCUUUUUAUUUUACAUUAAUAUAUGAUUAUUUGAUCCAUUAAUUAUGAUUAUAAGAUAAAAUUACCUUAGGGAUAACAGCGUAAUUUUUUUUGAAAGUUCUUAUUGAAAAAAAAGUUUGCGACCUCGAUGUUGGAUUAAA
This 437-nucleotide ribosomal RNA is filed under the name Airapus henriettae. RNAcentral's name for it is "partial 16S ribosomal RNA". Lineage: Eukaryota; Metazoa; Arthropoda; Insecta; Coleoptera; Scarabaeidae. The record is from RNAcentral.